RNA transcript from Dicentrarchus labrax (European seabass), 4370 nucleotides. It is a transcript of the gene named tpd52 like 2b, with no coding region annotated. The transcript is spliced from 11 exons. The record is from RefSeq and is a predicted model, not a curated record. Lineage: Eukaryota; Metazoa; Chordata; Actinopteri; Moronidae.
GGCGCACUUAAAGCUGAGCUGGCUGUUGUGGAUCUGAGUCUGUUCCUGUCGACGACUUUCUCUGGAGUGGGAGCAGCAGCAGCAGCUUAAACAAAAACCCACAAAACACAACCACCAGGAAGACUUCUGGCACACUGCACCAGUCUGCUAUCCACCAUUUCACCCCAGUCGAGUUUAACUUCCGACAACAACUGAACAAAGGAGACAUAAAGAAGGAGCUCUGUCCAACCGACGCCAUGGACCCCGCCAGUCAAGAUAUCAACCUGAACUCUCCUAACAAGGGUCUUGUUGUGGAUAACACAGACAGCCUGUCCGACGUGCCGGUGGAGGGAGCGGUGGGGAACUCAGCCAACCCUCUUCCACCCGGCCUGACAGAGGAAGAGGCUGAGGAGCUCCGCACUGAGCUCACCAAGGUGGAGGAAGAGAUCAACACCCUGCGUCAGGUUCUGUCAGCCAAAGAGAGACACGCUGCUGAGCUGAAGAGGAAACUCGGCCUCAGCCCGCUCAAUGAAUUAAAGCAGAACAUCACCAAGAGCUGGCAAGACGUACAGACCUCCAACGCCUAUGUGAGAACCACUGAGAAACUGGGCGAGUGGAAUGAGAAAGUUACCAGUUUGGAGCUAUAUCUGUCUGCCUCAGCCACUUUGGAUGACAUUGCCCGCUCUGAAGCAGAUGGGCCAGAUGUGUGGAGAUACAAGAAGACUCAGGAGACUCUCUCCCAGGCGGGACAGAAGACCAGUGCAGCUCUCACCACAGUGGGCACGGUCAUCAGCAAGAGACUGGGCGACAUGAGAGCUCUACCUUUCUCUAAUUCCUUUAGUAGCAACUAUUCCAUUCGCCACUCGAUAAGUAUGCCCGCCAUGAGGAACUCUGCAACCUUCAAGUCAUUUGAGGAUAAAAUGGGGAACCUGAAGGUGAGCGGACAGUAGGGAUGCACCCAAAGGCCACGAUGUGACUGAUCCACAGUUGCUUUCAUUGUCAUUUAUAAAGUUGUCGGCCCCAGAGGGAACGGGGAGGCCGUCGGCUCCCCCACUGACACCACCCCCACUCAGGAGAACCCACCUUUCUGAACGCAUCCCUCCUCCUCCUCCUCCUCCUCCUUCUCGCUGCCACCUUCCUCACGACCUGAGACUGUACUGUUAUCACCUCACAUCGCUGAGUCAGCCCUGACCUUUGACCCUCCACCUCACCGACCCUCCACCACUCACUGCGACCCCCCCGCGAGGUCUGUAAACUCCGACAGGAGGCAAAGUGGGUUCGAGGUGGGACGAGCCUUUCCCGCCAGUCCCAUCACCGCCGGUCCCACGGCCUCCGUUCUUCUGCCUCGCCAUUGAGGAAAAGGAAAAUGUUUUGUUGAUGUCUAAACCUGAAUAAUUUACAGACCUUGCUUUGCUACAUGUCCACCUCCUGCCUCUACUUCCUCCCCAGUUAAAGCCACACCUCCUUUGUUAGCCUCCUGCACUCCUCAGACUCCUUUUUUUUAAAAAACAGGUUGUUACUGUUUCAGCACUUGGCUUAAAAACAAAAAAGGCUAAAAAGGCAUUAUGAGAUGUCGGGUUCUUAAACCAAACAUCACACUGAAUUCUGGGAUUGGGGUUCUUCUGUAAUUCUGGGUAAUUCUGGGAAGAUACGCUGCAGUCAUGCAUUGAAAAGUAACCCUGCAGGUGCAUUUUUGGGCCCCAACUCAGAGUUUAGGAACCAGGAUGUCUGCAGAAUGAGGGUGGAGGAGCUUUUUUUUUUUACGGGCAUAGGCAAAAUGGUGGUUUUACGCUGGUUACACCUACUAAUUCUGUCUUCUUGUUUCCGACUGCUAUCAUGUACUUUAAAUAAUGUAUUCACACUGUGAGCAAACGCUAGUGUCACCACAGUAACCCCGCCCUGUUCUCAAACUCGUCCUCAGUUUGCUUCACAGCUCUGCAGUCGGCAGCAGUGUGAAGUACGCUCGUAGGUUAGAGGUUAGUGGUUAUAUUGGGAGGGUGGGGUGGGGGGGGAUCCAGCACAUCUCACCCUUCUUAGACCCACCACUGCUACAUGCAUGUGCAUAUCUCAUCUCAGUUGUACCAUACCAAUCAUGCAAAGACGACCGAGGUCUCGUGUAACACCCUAAAAAAAAAAAAAAAAAACACCCCACAAUGUAAAAACAGACAAAAACCUUAAACCAUUUUGUAUUAAAACUAUUUUACACUGCUUUGCAUAAUGUUUUUACAUAACUUUUAUCAAUAUGUAUAAAUAUAUAUGAAUAAAUAUAUUGUCGCUGAUGCUGCUGAAUGGUAGUAAUCAGGUUGGAAGGUUUAAGAAAAAGCGGGGGCGAAGGUUAAACAAACUUAAAACAAAGAAACACUGUGGGUCAGUUUCACAGGGACGAGUUAUUGUCUGUCAGGAGUUUCUUCUCUUCAUGGUCUAAAAUUAAAUAAAUAAAAAUGUUCCCACGUUUGUGAAACUGACUCAUUGACGAGCUGCAGUCGUUUUGUACCCGUGUGGGCACAAGACGGAUCAGACCGAGGCCAUAAGGAACACAAUCCGACUGGUUUCAUUUGAUAAACGCGUUUGAUCUCAGAUGUUGCUGCUGCGACAUGUUAAUGCUGCCAUUUGCAAGUCAAACUCUCAAGGGUCGCAAAUGAUUUGAAACCACUUUGGCUGUGUUUUUGCUUUUCAGCCUGGGUUUGACUGCCGUUCACUCAGUGUGAGACGACGCUUUGCUGUGUACACUACCUGGUGAAUGUCAACGCUUUCUCUAUCAGCCUUACUCACUUUAACUGGUUCACCUGUUAUUCUAAUUUAGCUGGUAGAAAAUAAAUUUCAUUUAUGUUCCUUUUUUUUUUUUCUUUUCAAGUUGUACAGACUGGUUCGAUUGAAGGAAGGGGAGUUAGCGUUAAAAUAUUUAGAGUCCGGCGAGCCACAAAAGUCAUGGAAAACCUCUCGCUGCCAUAGUAGAAACUUUGCCAACAACCCCUUAAUGCACUCCUUUAAACACACUAAAUGCUACUAAAUGCCCUGAUCGCACACACACACGCUGCAUGAGGCCAAACUAACACAAACGUUUUGUACAAACUCACUGUUGCUCCUAUUAUUGUUGCACCUUCAGAGACCACAUAGUGAUAAAUCCAAACUCCAGGGCCUCAGAAACAGUGACAGUAAAUGUGAAGGCACAGAACUGUGCAGCACUGUCACUUUUCUCCUUGUUUCCUUUUAUUUUUUUGCUGAUACAAGGGCAACAUCGCCUCUGGUGGUUUGACAAAAUGUUACACUGCUGUUUAUCCAGUUAAAAAAAAAAAAAAGCAACUCGUGGAAAAAAAAAUAAAGCCAAAAUCCUCGUCAAUCUUGAGUUGCUGUUGAGGCUCAUCGUUUUUCUCAAAGCACUGAAAGGUGUUUGAAUGUUGCCUCUCACGUUGCCAAAUACGUUUUUCACCCAUCACAACUACAAAAUGUUGCUCUUGUAUCCCGUCUCAAAAUGUCACGGGAGGUCUAGAUGAUUUAAAACUUUUUCCCGGAAGGUUUAGAGUUGCUUGUAGAAAAUAUUAAAAGAUGAACAAACAUGAAAUGAAAAUACACUCGACUUACAAACAAACGUUCCUGUCAAACUGCUUCAAAACCAGUGUGCCAGUGUAUCAUAAGUGUAUUUUCUUGUUUGUGUUGCUCAUUUUGGUAGUUAAUAUAUUCCUGUUAGGUGAAUUGUUAUGUUUUCUUUUGGCUUUCUGUCUGUUCGGAGAGGUGGAUUUAGAUAAGAUUUCUUAUUUGUAUAAAUGAUUUGCCAUCAGUUAAAAACAAAUUGCCAAUAUUUAAAUAUCUGUUACAGAAUCUCUUUCUUUCUGCCUCUGAAUCUCAUGGAGUCUCUGACUUUACUGCUUCGCCAACAUGAAAAAGACGCAGUCGCACACUGCAAGAAUUAUUGAUCUCAGCUCAUUUACUUUAGAAUUUAACCAUAUUUCUCUUAAACAAAGUGGAGAAACUCACUCAUAGUUGACGCUUUGGUGGAGCUGUGAUCUCCCUUUUGUGCAAGACAAAUGUGAUUUGAAGGAUUAAAUGACUUCUUAAGAUGUAAUUUUUUUAUUUUCUUUUUGCAGUGUAGCCGUUUGUGUAAAGCUGCAAUCAGUUUUCGGAGACUGAUGAUGAAAAAGGAUGAUUACUUUUUGUUUUGGGUGCCAAUGGGAAGUGCAGCACAAUGGUGAGCCUGCUCAGAGCCAGCCGCUGCAGAGGCUGGAGGACAGUAGAGUACUCAUAGCUUUAUUUAGGUCCUGGGAUGGGCUGAUGUAGAAUAUCAAAAGGGAUCAGAUUUGGAAGAUUAUGGCGAGUUAAUUAAAAACACUUUGGUUUUUUUUUUGGUUUUGUUGUAUAUGUUUGGAUAUCAAUAAAGCAUUCCUUUAAAUGAA